UUAUGGAUGGACCUGCGGCGCAUUAGCUAGUUGGUGAGGUAACGGCUCACCAAGGCGACGAUGCGUAGCCGACCUGAGAGGGUGAUCGGCCACACUGGGACUGAGACACGGCCCAGACUCCUACGGGAGGCAGCAGUAGGGAAUCUUCCGCAAUGGGCGAAAGCCUGACGGAGCAACGCCGCGUGAGUGAUGAAGGUUUUCGGAUCGUAAAGCUCUGUUGCCAAGGAAGAACGCUCAGGAGAGUAACUGCUCUUGAGGUGACGGUACUUGAGAAGAAAGCCCCGGCUAACUACGUGCCAGCAGCCGCGGUAAUACGUAGGGGGCAAGCGUUGUCCGGAAUUAUUGGGCGUAAAGCGCGCGCAGGCGGCGAUGUAAGUUGGGUGUUUAAACCUAGGGCUCAACCUUGGGUCGCAUCCAAAACUGCAUGGCUUGAGUGCAGCAGAGGAAAGUGGAAUUCCACGUGUAGCGGUGAAAUGCGUAGAGAUGUGGAGGAACACCAGUGGCGAAGGCGACUUUCUGGGCUGUAACUGACGCUGAGGCGCGAAAGCGUGGGGAGCA
Molecule: ribosomal RNA, 558 nt
Filed under: Paenibacillus apiarius
Lineage: Bacteria; Bacillati; Bacillota; Bacilli; Caryophanales; Paenibacillaceae
Description: bacterial SSU rRNA
Rfam family: Bacterial small subunit ribosomal RNA
Source: RNAcentral